Molecule: ribosomal RNA, 428 nt
Filed under: uncultured bacterium
Lineage: Bacteria
Description: bacterial SSU rRNA
Rfam family: Bacterial small subunit ribosomal RNA
Source: RNAcentral
CUAAGAAUCUUCCGCAAUGGGCGAAAGCCUGACGGAGCGACGCCGCGUGAACGAAGAAGGCCGUGAGGUUGUAAAGUUCUUUUCGGGAGGGGGAACAACCGUGGCAGGGAAUGGCCGCGGGAUGACGUGAGUCCCGGAAUAAGCCCCGGCUAACUACGUGCCAGCAGCCGCGGUAACACGUAGGGGGCGAGCGUUGUUCGGGAUCAUUGGGCGUAAAGGGCGUGCAGGCGGUCCUGCAAGUCCGGCGUGAAAGACCCCGGCCCAACCGGGGGGGCGCGCUGGAAACUGGAGGGCUUGAGUACAGGAGGGGAUGCCGGAAUUCCAGGUGUAGGGGUGAAAUCUGUAGAUAUCUGGAAGAACACCAAUGGCGAAGGCAGGCAUCUGGCCAUGUACUGACGCUGAGACGCGAAGGUGCGGGGAGCAAACAG